RNAcentral lists this long non-coding RNA (1487 nucleotides) under Betta splendens (Siamese fighting fish). RNAcentral's name for it is "lncRNA (ENSBSLG00000009850.1)". The record is from RNAcentral. Lineage: Eukaryota; Metazoa; Chordata; Actinopteri; Anabantiformes; Osphronemidae.
UCCAAAAUGUAAUUGUGCCAAAUAUUCUAACCUUUAGGAACUAAACCUGAUGAACCAAUUCCUCAAUAAUGUUUUCUUAGGCUUUACCAUUAAUGCUAAAUACGAUACUUUAAGACAAACUGCACCUGAAACAUAACUUUAUUGUUUCAGUUUCAACGGGUGAUUUAAGUUAAAUGCCGUGUAGAAAUGUCAAAGUCAAAUAAAAUUCAGCAUAUAUCAAAUGUCCCAUGAUGCUCUUCUGUGAGUUUUAAAGCCAUAUGAUGAAUGUCAUUUAUUAUAUAACCCAUGUAAAUACCAACUUGUUGAAAUUCAAAGACAUGCUGCCAAAGUUGCUGGUUCUUUUCAGUAGUAAAGGCAAAGAGAAAUUAUUUAUUCCACAGGGAAAACUAAAAGUCAUGAAGUUUCUUCAUAUCCUAUGACACAGUCCAGACAUUUUGUUUAUGCAUAGCAGCCAACGCUUCUCACAGGAGAGCAGACUGACCUUUUCUAAACUCUGCUACAGAUUACAUGUCCUCACAACAAGAACAGAAGCUAAGUGUGCACGCCCACGUGUGAGCAUACAUUUAAAUACAGGAUGGAGUCUGAGGCAAACAGGAGUGUACGACAACUCCCCUUUACAUUGAGGUCUAGUCCCGCAAAACCUCUAUUACAGUAGAUCAGGUCUGUAUUUAACACUGCACCAUCACCAAACCAUCAGGAGGCAUCUGCCUCCUCCUUAUUUUAUCCUGCUGCUGUGGUAAAUUCUGUUCCUCCUAUGGAGUUAUUUCUGUCCAUUGCAACAAAUGUCAAGUUGACCGUGGUGUCAGGUUGGCCACUAAAACAAAUAAACUGCUGCAGCUGAGUAAACAUGGACUUUCGAUGGACACGUAGGCACUCGCUGGUUGCAUAAACAACACAGCUUUAAAAAGUGGGCAUUGGGAGAUGUUUCUUAGAGUGCUUCGCAGAGGGUCUGCUGCAGACACCCAGCUGACCUUUUUCGACCUCUCAGUUCUUUCUGCAGAAGAACAAGCGGAAUGGCGUCACGAACACAGGCGUGAGGAGCCUUGUCCAGAACCAACAUUUGUCCGGACUGGCCCGGACGCACGACCGUCGUCAUCAGUGAAGGUAAAUAGCGCUUAAAGCUUUUACGUGACGAUUCUCUGUGUUCGGGACAGUGUGAGCAGAUGUUGGUAAGAUUAGAGAAAUCUGAUCAUUAAAUUCUGAUUUGGCUGCUCCUAGUAAAGUAUCUGUGUGGGAGAGACAAAGAGAGGCGGUGGAGAAUUUACCUGUGCUUACUUAUACUGCUGUAAAUAGCUGCUUUGCAUAACCAACUGCUGUGUGUGUAUGUGCUAUCUUGCGCUUGGGGAAAAAAUGACAUGGCCUAUUGACCUCUAAAAGUUACGUAGGUUAACUUGAGGCAGGCGACGUUUGAAAAAUCUAAAGUACGGGCGUUGUAGUCUGCAUUCGGAUAAAAUAAAUUUAAGGCUGUGUAAGUUCUGUGUCGACGC